AGUGAACGCUGGCGGUAGGCCUAACACAUGCAAGUCAAACGGCAGCACAGUAAGAGCUUGCUCUUACGGGUGGCGAGUGGCGGACGGGUGAGGAAUACAUCGGAAUCUACUUUUUCGUGGGGGAUAACGUAGGGAAACUCACGCUAAUACCGCAUACGACCUACGGGUGAAAGCAGGGGAUCUUCGGACCUUGCGCGAUUGAAUGAGCCGAUGUCGGAUUAGCUAGUUGGCGGGGUAAAGGCCCACCAAGGCGACGAUCCGUAGCUGGUCUGAGAGGAUGAUCAGCCACACUGGAACUGAGACACGGUCCAGACUCCUACGGGAGGCAGCAGUGGGGAAUAUUGGACAAUGGGCGCAAGCCUGAUCCAGCCAUACCGCGUGGGUGAAGAAGGCCUUCGGGUUGUAAAGCCCUUUUGUUGGGAAAGAAAAGCAGCAGGUUAAUACCCCGCUGUUCUGACGGUACCCAGAGAAUAAGCACCGGCUAACUUCGUG
This 492-nucleotide ribosomal RNA is filed under the name uncultured bacterium. Its description in RNAcentral is "partial 16S ribosomal RNA". It matches the Rfam family "Bacterial small subunit ribosomal RNA", at positions 29 to 507 of the family's 1533-position model. The record is from RNAcentral.